GAAACAGUAUCCCAGAAUGGCAGUCGACCAUGGGGGGAAAAUCAUCUGGAGGGGCAAAAAGGAAGUUCUGUUGAGGAAGCCUAAGCCAGCCUUGUGGAGAGGCCACUCCGUGGAGGAGAACUGAAGAACCCAGACAAAAUCCAGAAUCAAGGCCCAUGACUCCAUGAAGCCAUCCCAAGUGAAGCUUCAGACAUCCUGGAGCACAGAUGUGCAUCCUGCCCAAAUCCCCAACCUACUCUAUUAGAGGCUAGGAACCACUUUUCCAGACCAACUCUGAAUUCCUGCAUGGGACAUUAAAAUGAUGAACAAGGCGAGAUUUCUAACCAGAUUGUGAGAGCUAUAAAAGUCAUCUUCUGUGACAGCAGACACAGUGAGAAGGAAGCCACCUGCAAGCCAGGAGGAAAGCUCUCACAAGACCUCAUCCAUACUGGCGCCCUGAUC
Molecule: long non-coding RNA, 441 nt
Organism: Rhinolophus ferrumequinum (greater horseshoe bat)
Lineage: Eukaryota; Metazoa; Chordata; Mammalia; Chiroptera; Rhinolophidae
Exons: 5
Source: RefSeq, a predicted model, not a curated record